RNAcentral lists this ribosomal RNA (529 nucleotides) under uncultured bacterium. RNAcentral's name for it is "bacterial SSU rRNA". It matches the Rfam family "Bacterial small subunit ribosomal RNA", at positions 777 to 1304 of the family's 1533-position model. The record is from RNAcentral.
AAUAGAUACCCAGGUAGUCCACGCCGUAAACGUUGGGCGCUAGAUGUGGGGACCUUUCCACGGUUUCCGUGUCGUAGCUAACGCAUUAAGCGCCCCGCUUGGGGAGUACGGCCGCAAGGCUAAAACUCAAAGGAAUUGACGGGGGCCCGCACAAGCGGCGGAGCAUGCGGAUUAAUUCGAUGCAACGCGAAGAACCUUACCAAGGCUUGACAUACACGAGAACGGGCCAGAAAUGGUCAACUCUUUGGACACUCGUGAACAGGUGGUGCAUGGUUGUCGUCAGCUCGUGUCGUGAGAUGUUGGGUUAAGUCCCGCAACGAGCGCAACCCUCGUCGCAUGUUGCCAGCACGUUAUGGUGGGGACUCAUGUGAGACUGCCGGGGUCAACUCGGAGGAAGGUGGGGAUGACGUCAAAUCAUCAUGCCCCUUAUGUCUUGGGCUUCACGCAUGCUACAAUGGCCGGUACAAAGGGCUGCGAUGUCGUAAGGCGGAGCGAAUCCCAAAAAGCCGGUCUCAGUUCGGAUUGAGGU